Molecule: long non-coding RNA, 5318 nt
Organism: Beta vulgaris subsp. vulgaris (sugar beet)
Lineage: Eukaryota; Viridiplantae; Streptophyta; Magnoliopsida; Caryophyllales; Amaranthaceae
Exons: 2
Source: RefSeq, a predicted model, not a curated record
UAUAGGACCCAGCCAUAACAAUUAGACAAGUGAAGUACAACAUGAUUCUAGGCACCACACAUAUAUUUCUGAAUUAAGAUAAACCAAGAUAGAAUUAGCAUUCCUAGCUUUCAAUCUUCUUCACCACAGAAACAGCACAAGAUCCUCCAGAGUACGCCUCCCCUCUUAGGACCGGAACGCAUGUUGCUCGAAUUCUUGUCGUUGUAUCCUCCUGCCAUGUUUAACUCACCAAACUUAAAACAACAGCGAGAACAACAGAUUUGGGAAGCUAAAGCUAAUGCUUGUAUUUGAUCUGGGAGUGUAUUGGGGGUGGCUUCACCUGAAAGAUUCGUGUGUUUUAUAAGAGUAUUGUAAGAUCACUAGCAGAUUUUCUCUUCAGUUUUCUUGGUAAGUUCAGGUAACUUUCCACAUAUAGUGUUAUAUUGCUUAAUUAAUUUAAAUAUGAAACCAUAUACUACACGGUUAGCAUCCAUAUUUGCGUAUCAAUCACUAAUAUUGAACAUAUAUAUGUUUUACUACAUUAUUCGAACUAGCUAGUGUUAAGUUCGUACAAUACAACAAGCUAAACUUUACUGGGAAAUUUCCCUACAUAAUAUAAUGUAGGUUGUAAUUUAGUCUCCAAAUUAAACCGAGUAAACUUUUUAAACUUAUUGAAUUUUAAAAAUUUGCUGAUAAAAAUAAUUAAUAUGGAUACAAUGCAAAUUUAACAGCAAGCUGACUUCUGCUGUGGUGUACUAGUGUAGCAUUUCCAGUGUCUUUCCACUGAUCAAGAGGGGAAGAGGGUGGGACUUGUUGGACCUCUAAAUAAGUGAUGAUGAGAGGUUUUCGAGAAGGAGCGCGAAACAAAAUUCGUAUGAAUUGGUCAAGAAUAAAACGACCAAUUCAACAACAAUAUUAAUAUGGUGAUAACUAUUUACUCUUCCAAAGGAAGAAAGAGCUGGUCAAAAUUUUCUUAUGAUAUACUCCCUCUGUUUCAAAAUAUAAGUCAUUUACGCUUUACGAAAAUUUGCUUUGACCACAAAUAUCUCUCAAAUACGAUAAGUAAAAAUUACAAAAAUUAUACCGUUGGAUUCGUCUUGAAAAAUACUAUAAUAAUAUUAUUUUUUAAAAUUUUAUAUCAACAUAAAUUGAGAGUAAUUAACGGUCAAAGUUCGACCUCGAACAUCGUGCGUGCCUUAUAUUGUGAAACGGAGGGAGUACUGCGUAGUUCUAUAUAUUAAAAUUUUCCAACUAUAACACAGCUGACUUAAUUUUUGUCAUUUAAGAAAAUAAUCUAGUCUUCUUUUAUUCAAGAGUCUUUUCCGAACAUUAAACUUGUUUCGGUUAUGAAACGGUUAGCGGCUUCAAGGGAAAUCCGCCAAAGAUAUGGAGAGUAGAGUCCUUAGUGAAUAGUUGCACAGCAAGCAAACGUGAGCAACCCUCGGGGUGGUUGCGAGGAAACCCCUUCCCGAUGCUCAAGUCAGUAUUUGUCCAACUAGGAUUUAGAGAGAGAGAGAAGCUAUUUUCAGUAUGAGAGAGAAUGUACCUACAUAAUAGUACUAUUGAGGUAUUAAUAGAAGUAUUAUUCCUGUGACAAGGCUUGUAAUCCUUUGAUACGUGUAUGACUGUGACGAACCACGUCGGUGAACUGACUUACUAGAGCUGUGGAUGACAUUGCCAUGCUCGCGUCCGUGAUAAUGUUUGCGGACCCUCCAUAGGGAUCCGCUAAUAUACUUGAGCUAUACCCAUACAACUAGCCCACCAACAUCAUUUGGGGUCUUGACCACUAAGGAUGUUGUUGGUGGACGCGAACCAUUUUUGUCGUGUUUGAUUUUUCGAAGAGAUUAAUUUGUUGGAUGCCACGUGUCGCUUUAGGGAGUUGAAGCAUUUUGAAAAGCUAAUGAUUACUUUUCCGAAAAUCCCCCAAUACUUUAUUAGGUUUUAACUUCGUCAUGACACUUGGCAGAAAUCUGGAGAGAAGUUUGAGAGUUCUUUUGAUCUCAGCCGUCUAUCCGUGCAUAUAUACCAGAGCAGUUCGUUGUCCUUUUCUGAGUUAUUUAUUUUACACUCAAAACUAUCUUGCUUCUUCUUCUUUUUCCUAUGACAAAACCCCGUAACCAAAGCUUGCAUUGUUCAAGAAUAGUCUUUCUUGUGCUCAAAUCACUAAAAGUUGCUCAAUCUUCCAGUUUUUACUUUACGGUUCUAAUGCACUGAAAGUUUCAUCUUUUCUUGACAGACAUUCUCUGGGCUUUUUCUGUGUUUGGGGUUUCGUGCUUUUCCGGUGGUUCUUUAGCUACAAGCUCAAGUUUUUCGGUGCAAUUCAGCUGUUUGGGGACUUUGUUCACCUUCUUCGACGAUUUUAUUCCUUACUUUCUCUUUUUCCCGGCGACCCUUCGUUUCCAGCUAAUUCUUCAUUUUUUUUCCUCAUUUCCUUAAGUUUCUUUUGCCUUUUUAUCAUGUCGUACCAAUCUGAUAGCCAGAAUGCUCUUAGUGAGGUAUUUAUGACUGAGAGUGACCCUUCUUCCCCUUUGGCCGAUAACGAUUCUACUUCCCCUUUGGCGGACCCUGGACUUUCUUCUGGUUCAAGCCCUGUGGGCCGGGAAGGACUAGGUUGUUAGCGGACAUACCUCUUACGGCUGAGAGAGAGAAAGAGAGAGAGAGAAUUGAUAUCUAAAUUUCUUAACGACCCAGCUACCCUUGGAGAGCAAAAUUUGACCAUGAGCUAUUUUUCCGCUAGCUAGAGCGGUGAAAAAAUAGACGCUUAGGGAGCUUAGGCACCAAAUCCUUGUUAGACAUUCUCUUAGGCAUCCACCAACCAAUGUCGUUCCCGGUUUGGACGUAGCCCCUCUUAGAGAACAUGCCUGGUUGGAUAGCCUGGCGGAUGCCGGGGUUAAGGUGUCAGCCGAUUUUUACGACCGCUAACAGGUAUUUGCAACCCUAACCCUCCUAUUGUUGAUUUAUGUAACGAUAGUGAUUCAAUUGCUACCGUCGUGGCUCGUGAAGGAACGGUUUAUCAUCGUCGUGCCGGUGCAAGUACUGGCGUAUCCGUUCCUCUGGCAUCCCCUGCAGCUGUGGUAGGCUCAAGCCAGCCGGCAGAAUUCGUGGCCGGACAAGAUUUUGAUGCUUUAUGGCUUCCUGAGGAUGCCUCUGCCGGCCCUCUCAUCGUGGAGGUUGACGGGCCCUGGCGUCAGGAUGUUCCUGAUCUCGUUUAUCCGAGAGUUGCUCGGGAUUUAUACCAUAUGCCUACAGGGUAUCGCUUGAUAGUGCCACCAGAAGGAGCCAUUGUGACGGAGUGUCCUCCCGGUCAUGUGGUUGUAUAUACACACCACUUUGAACUUGGCCUCCGCUUCCCCUUGGAUUCUUUCUUGGUCGAGAUUUUAAAUGCGUUCAACGUGUGUUGGGCGCAGCUGACGCCCUUAGCAUCGCGUACAUGUGGGUUGUACGCUUUUUAGAUUUCCCUUAAAUAGUGAACUUAUUCCGCCAAAUCCAUUGGUUGAAGAGAAAUGGAUCUUAUAGGCAAUCAGGCUGGUGGUCGUUAAUGACGGCUGACAAGAAGAUGACAGUUCAGCCUAAGGUGUCGAGCUUGAAGGGUUGGCAGGAUGCCUUGUUCUGGUUGCGAGUGCCCGACGAUUACCCUGUGCGCCGCCAUUUCACAAAGCCUCGUCCUCAUAUGGAGCAUAUUCCUUUAGUGUCGCUAACUGAGGAAGAGUUAGCGGCCUUUGACUAUUUUGACGUGGAGGACUACGAGGUCACUUAUGAGGACGGGACGACGGCUAGGGUUAAGGAGCUCAAGCAUUCGAUUCCUCAUUCCAAGUAUAUUCUAGGGAAUAAGCCUUUGUUGGCUGUUCUACUGUCGCCCACCCAUGAGAAUGGUAAGUAUUACUGUCGGACUGGUCUGUCUGAUGAUAAUAAUAAGAAUUAGCGGCUGUUUGUUAUUAUAUUUUCUGUUUUCUAAUCCUUUCUUGCUUGUUUGCAGGCGUUGACAAUCUCGACCUCGACGUGCUUUGCGUCGACGAAGAUUUUUGGCCGUUAACAAAUUUGUCGCCUGCUCCCGCCAACGACUACGAGACAAUGCACGGUGUUACCAACGACCGUCGGGGGGGAAAUCGUCAUGGCUCCCAGAACAUUCGCAGAGGUCACGGAGAGGCGACCACUUCUCGCGUCCCCGUUGUUGGCGCUACUGCUGCUGCUAGCACAAGCGUGCCGUCAUCCCCUGUCAUUCCUCUCCGAUCCUCUACUUCCUUUCGAACCUAUCUCCUGGUAUCUUUUAUCGGUACCGGAAGUGGAUUGAGAAGAAGGAAGUGCCAUUAAGCGACUCUAUGGCGGUCGCGUUUGCUCCCCAGACUAUCAGUCCGGGCAAGAUUUAUCAACUUGACUGGAACGUCAGGGAGGAUGAAUCUCUAUAUGCUGAUAUACCUAAAAACGGUGGUAUUCGUGCCACCGUAUUCUGAAGGGCAUGCAACUGCCUCUGGAUAGGCCGUCGGGAUCCUUGAUAACUCCUGCUGCCCAGCUAGCGCAUGAUCAGCUUGUGGCUAACAAUGCUGCUGGUGAGCUGAUUGAGCAUUAUAUUGAGUACCAGAAGCUGGAGGACACCUAUAAGGCCUCAUUGGCGACCUGCCAUGGCCUACCCGCGGAUGCUGAGGGCAAGCUGGCGGCCAAGGAGGCAGCUUCGUAGCCUCUGGAGGACGAGUUAGAGACACUGCGAUCAAGGGCUGCCUUGUUGGAGGAGACCGAGGAAAACGUCAAGGCGUUGACCAAGGCUGUGGAUGCUGAGAAAGAGAUUGUUGUGUUGGACGCCUCUGCUAGCUGAAGCUGAAGCUAGGGGGGUCGCCAAGGCUAUUGUUGAAUUCAAGCAGUCCAAUGAUUAUGUGGCGGCUCUCCACAAGAGGUAUGAUGACGGUUUGGCGGCUGCCAUGAGAUGUGUAUGUAAAGCUAUUCCAGGGUUUGACUGGAAUGUGAUUGAAGAUGCACAUGCUGCUGGCCAGCAUCUUACGCAUUUCGAGGGGGACCCUAACUUUGCUGACGAAGACGCCAUCGCUGAUGUGGAUCCUCGAGAGCCUCCGACACAAGGACCUCCUCCCUCUUGAAGCUUUUGACGGCCUUCUCUCAGCUCUUCUUGCUCCUCCAAUAGUUUUUAGCUUUAUGUACUUUUUAAUACUUUGUAGCUAAACUGUAUUCGGCCCAUGCUGGCGUUUUGUAAACAAUGACUUGAUUUUGAUUUUUUGAGUACUUAUUCCAACAAAGCCUUUUUGUUUUUAUUGGCUGCCAACAUUUUUCUGUAGUCGACCGCCAAGCCAGUAGCUUUUGUUUUAUGGAAGAGUACUUUCGUGUUUCUUGCU